AUCUUAAGAUUGUUAGAAAUCUUAAGACAUAUUUCAAAUACUUUUGAGCAAGAAUCUGAAGUUUCAGUAGAUUCAUCUACAUUUUUUUUAAAUAUAUAUAUAUAAGCUUUACAGUUAAUAUUGAACAGUCGGGUUCGAUAUACAUUUUAUAUUGAACAUUCGACCUCCGUGCGCGUCAACCUGUUCCGGUCCUUUUUCGUUCAUUCGCCAAGCAUGGAUAAGCUACAACCAGUGAAGCUGGCAAAAGUAUGUGAGAUUUUCCUUUGGUUGGGAAUGAAAUGGGUUAAAAAGUUCAGAUGUGAUAGAUUUUCAUGCGGCUGAAAAGUGCCCUAUGUUUAUAAAUGAAAGCGAUUAUUAUUAUUGACCAUAAAAUGAACACAUUGAGGCGGAAGAGGGGGGGGGGGGGGGGUAGUUAAUUGGUUAAAAUAUCUAAGCGUCGUGGUCGCUGACUAGGUCUAGAUUAAGAAAUUUAUGUUAUCAUGUAGAUUUACAUUAGAAUACAAUAUUAGGGAGACCAUCUCCCCGAAUUGCGAUGAAAAAGACCCCUUCCCAAUUGUAGAAUUUACUCCUGAGUCCUUACAACUUAUGCAACAUUUCUUGACUUGUAAAUUUUAUAGAAACAAUUCGUGUCAUGCUGAGUAUGUGUCACACUUAUUCAGCAUGGCAAAUUCCAUGCAAUGCUGAAUAAGGGUGACACGAAUUGUUUCUAUGUAUACACACUACAGUCAAGAAAUUUCAUAUCAGUGUUGUUUCAUAAGAGGAAAAGAGGUUGAAACCCAAUGCACAUCCUGAGUGUUUUUGAUUUUAUUAAUAUAUUUGCAGAAAUAUCGGACAUUUUAGCACCUGUUUUCUUUUCUCUUGAAACACAAAGAGAUGUAAUCCACAAGUAUUUUUCUCGGUUGUACGGGAUAUAUUUACUCUCGUUAUAGAGGGAUAAUUUCGUUUUUGCAAGAAUAUCUCGCUAUAGGGGAAGUAUUCCUAACCUGUUCAAAGAUCAUUUUGAUAUGAUCUAAUCUACACCUGUCCAGUAGAGAUUAAUUAAUGAGUGUAAUCUUUUCAUUUGAAUGAGGUAAACUUUGAUCAAAUUGAAAGUUAGAAGGAGUCCAAUUAUUCCUUAAUGCACUCUGGAUUGGUUUUCUCCCUAUUUCUUUGUAUGAAAUAUUUUUCAAGCAAAUGUCGCUAUUUUUCCCAAUUGGAAAGGCCCAGGCCCUUGAAAUCAAGACCUUAAGGUGGGUCCUUAGUCCUGGAUUUUUGGGGUUUAGGUAGCAUUUUUUUUGUUUGGAAUCAAUAAAUUAACAUUCAGAGUAAUGAAAAAAGGCAAAACAUCCAUAUUAAUUUUCAUUACAUACACCACUAAAGUCAUGUACUCCGAUCUAGAUUUUUAUGAAAUUCAUUGGAGACAGUUAUUUGUUGUUAUAUUUUAAUAUAAAAACAACAAAAUAUUUUUUGAAUUGCAUUUAUUUAAAUGGAAAACAUGUCAAUAACUAAAACACAUGUCAUUUUCAAUAUGUUUAUCAAGUUUUAGAAUAAUAUGUGCAAAAUUAUUGAAUUAGCGUUAUUCUCCAAAAUGUUAAAAAACAAACAAAUGUGGACGCAUUUUCCUUAUAGCAUGGUUUACAUAUCAUUUUUUCUGUUUAUAUUAGUAGAGUUACAUCUGUUAUAAUUAUUUAUGGAAAAAAAUCCAUACCUUUCCUUAAUUAUUUCAAAUCUAUAGCUUCCUGAUUAUGUAUACCCCCAUAAAAAACUGAAGCCUAGCACCAUACAGCUGAGCUAUUUAAAAUCACUCGGGAUUAAAAUUUAUGUCAUUUCAUGAAAAGACACAGAUAAUGAUUCCUUAUCACCUUGGUAAAAUGUUUGUCAAAAAUAAAGGAAAUCUAUCGCAUUAUUGACUUGAUAAAUAAUUUAUUGAAAACAGAGUUAUUGUCCUUGGAUUCAAUAUUUUGAAACAUAUUGACAAUUCAAAUAUAACUAAGACUUUUGAAAUAUUUUAUGGCUAACAAUAUUUUUUACAAUAACUAUUGAAAAAGACUCCAACAAAAUUUAUGUACCUGUCAUUAAAUCAUUGAUUUUGCAAAAUCCUAUGAUGUCACAGGAGUGUGGAACUACGUUAAAAAAAGCUGGAUUCAUACCAUGUGAAAGAAAUUGUCUAAAUAUAUGUAAUAAAUGUUUUGGAAUACUCGUUAAUUGAACAAUUCAAGAGAUAUAUUGACAACUCAAUUGCAAUGUGCAAUAGAUACAUUACAAGUUUAUCCCAAACCUAAAAGGAAAGAUAUUGGUGCAAUUUUUUCACCAAUUAACUGAUUGGGAUAAGCAAAUACCAGCUAGUGUCAAUGUGACAUUUCUAAAAUGAAUGCGCGAUAUUGAAAUUUUUAUGGGCAGGCAGUAAAUCUAAUACUCCCUAUGAUCUUGGAUUGCAAUGUUUUAUAGAUAAGGCCAAUUCAACUUGAUUAGUAGAUUACCAUCCAGGGUCACCAAAAACUAUGGGGCUGGUGGGAGGAUUUUAAGUUUUAUUUUCUGAGAAAAAUAUUAAGGACAAACGAGUUUUUGUCAACAGAAGUGCAUCAUUUAAUGUCAGAUGGAUAUCAAUCUAUGCUUAUUUCACAGACGAAUUCAAGGUUAAGCUUUACUUUCAAACAUAAAAACAUGCAAAACUUCUUCAAGGUAUGAAGAACAUUGACCCUUUCUUUUCAUUUAUGUCCGUAAGAACGUUAGAAAUUAAGAAAACCAUAUCUAUUUUCUUCAUGCUGCUCUACUGGAAAUGUAAACAAGAAGUUAAAUACCGAAUUUGAAAAUGAAAA
Molecule: long non-coding RNA, 2798 nt
Organism: Ostrea edulis (European flat oyster)
Lineage: Eukaryota; Metazoa; Mollusca; Bivalvia; Ostreida; Ostreidae
Exons: 2
Source: RefSeq, a predicted model, not a curated record